Molecule: transfer RNA, 62 nt
Filed under: Dendroctonus valens (red turpentine beetle)
Lineage: Eukaryota; Metazoa; Arthropoda; Insecta; Coleoptera; Curculionidae
Description: tRNA-Tyr
Rfam family: tRNA
About the family: Transfer RNA (tRNA) molecules are approximately 80 nucleotides in length. Their secondary structure includes four short double-helical elements and three loops (D, anti-codon, and T loops). Further hydrogen bonds mediate the characteristic L-shaped molecular structure. tRNAs have two regions of fundamental functional importance: the anti-codon, which is responsible for specific mRNA codon recognition, and the 3' end, to which the tRNAs corresponding amino acid is attached (by aminoacyl-tRNA synthetases). tRNAs cope with the degeneracy of the genetic code in two manners: having more than one tRNA (with a specific anti-codon) for a particular amino acid; and 'wobble' base-pairing, i.e. permitting non-standard base-pairing at the 3rd anti-codon position.
Source: RNAcentral
GGUAAAAUGGCUGAUUAAAGCGAUAAAUUGUAAAUUUAUUUAUGGAGAUUUUCCUUUUACCA